AAGCUCGUAGUUGAAAUUGUGUCCUGCGGCGUUUGUCUACCGAUUGCGGUACGACAGGCGCGUCUGCGGGGCUUCUCGCCGGUGCGUCUUUCGGUCGUCCGAUAAAACGCUCGCGCGUCGUUCGCGUCGCGCGGGUGCGGACCGAUCGGAGUCGUCGCGGCUUUUUACUUUGAACAAAUUAGAGUGCUCAAAGCGGGCUGUUUUUCGCCUGAAUAUUGUACGCAUGGAAUAAUAGAAUAGGACCUCGGUUCUGUUUUGUUGGCUUUCUGACACCAGAGGUAAUGAUUAAUAGGGACAACUGGGGGCAUUCGUAUUGCGACGUUAGAGGUGAAAUUCUUGGAUCGUCGCAAGACGGACUAAAGCGAAAGCAUUUGCCAAAGGUGUUUUCAUUAAUCAAGAACGAAAGUUAGAGGUUCGAAGGCGAUUAGAUACCGCUGUAGUUCUAACCAUAAAUGAUGCCAGCCAGCGAUCCGCCGAAGUAUCAAAAUUUAAUUACUCGGUGGGCAGCUCUCGGGAAACCAA
RNAcentral lists this ribosomal RNA (522 nucleotides) under Orthotrichia costalis. RNAcentral describes it as "bacterial SSU rRNA". It matches the Rfam family "Eukaryotic small subunit ribosomal RNA", at positions 624 to 1101 of the family's 1831-position model. Lineage: Eukaryota; Metazoa; Arthropoda; Insecta; Trichoptera; Hydroptilidae. The record is from RNAcentral.